RNAcentral lists this long non-coding RNA (894 nucleotides) under Gossypium barbadense (sea-island cotton). RNAcentral's name for it is "long non-coding RNA (GBAR_LNC001099)". Lineage: Eukaryota; Viridiplantae; Streptophyta; Magnoliopsida; Malvales; Malvaceae. The record is from RNAcentral.
CCUUGUAUAUAUUAUAGUAUACAAUAAAAUUAGUUACAUAUUUAAGGUUUAGGUUGUACAUCAUUAAUAGAAGAAUAAGAAUGCACAUUGUAAUAUCAUAAUGUUAUAUUAAUUAUUAUACAUUCAAGAUUUAAUUGUUGUAGGCCAAUUUUGGCCUAUAGAAUAACAAACCCCUUAACCCAUUUUUCAAAACCCAUUUAAAUUAAAUCUACCCAAAUCUAUUACAGAACCCAAAUAUUUAACCCAUCCCCAAGCCCAAAUAAAACCUAACUACAAGCCCAAAUUAAACAAACCCUAACCCACUAACUAUCCCACAACCUUUUGUCAGAAACCAAAAACCCUAGCCACCUUGUCCCAUUCGGCCACCUGCCCACUGCAGCACCGCCCCACAUCCACCACCCUCUGCACCUGCAACAUCGGAGAAGAAAAGACAGCAAAUAAUAGAAAAUAGUUUGUAAAUAAGGCUAUAAAAGCUGAAUGAAAAAAGGAUUAGGGGUUUUUUUUUUUUGGAUCUUUGAAAAAAUACAAAAAAAUAAUCUCAAUAUACAUACAUGCAGUGAUAUGAAGGAAGAAAAAUACAAGAACAACACCGAUUGGGUAACCAAAAUACUGAUAUCAAAAGUCUAAGGUGCUUUAUUCUUUUUAUUUCUUAUUUAUUUUCGAAUUUGUGUUUCUAUGCAUAUGUACAUAUAAAAGUAUAAAAGAAAAAGAUAAGAAAAGAAAAAAAAUAUAAAAUAAAAAAUAAAAAAAAUAUACCUUUUCAACUUUCUGGCCACCGUGUACGGUGGCCGGCGGCAGCAAUCGGUGGUGGCGGUCUACCUGUGACUUCGUCGGGGCCUGGAUCUGCAGAGAAAUAAAAGAGAAAGUUUAGUUUUUUAGAAACAGGUAACAAAU